AUUAUUAUAAGUAAAAUCUGCUCCAUGAAUUUAAAUAGCCGCAGAAUUUUAACUGUGCUAAGGUAGCAUAAUCAUUUACCUUUUAAUUAAAGGUUUGCAUGAACGAUUUAACAAUUAAAUCAUUUUUUUAUAAAUACCUAUUUAACCUAAAUUAAAAAUAAAAAUGUUUUUAUAAUUGAGAAAGACGAUAAGACCCUAUUGAACUUUACUAAUGUUUAGCUGGGGAAGCUAAUUAAAUAUAAUUUUAAUUUUCAAUUCUUAAUAAAUUUCUAAUAUAAUUAAUUUAAUCAAGUUACCAUAGGGAUAACAGCGUAAUAUAAUUUUAAAGCUCAUAUUAAAAAUCAAGAUUACGACCUCGAUGUUGAAUUAGAAUUCCUAUAAAGCGCAAUAGCUAAAAAGAGGGUCUGU
RNAcentral lists this ribosomal RNA (408 nucleotides) under Ternatus malleatus. RNAcentral describes it as "partial 16S ribosomal RNA". It matches the Rfam family "Bacterial large subunit ribosomal RNA", at positions 1842 to 2580 of the family's 2925-position model. The record is from RNAcentral. Lineage: Eukaryota; Metazoa; Arthropoda; Arachnida; Araneae; Linyphiidae.